CAUGAAUCAUGUGACGGUGGCUUGAGGAAGAACCUGUCUUUAAAGCUGUCCCUGAAGUGACAGCGGAGAGAACCAGGCAGCCCAGAAACCCGAGGACCUAAAGCGAUUCUUGUAUAAAAAGUUACCAAGUGUUGAAGGGCUCCAUGCCAUUGUUGUGUCAGAUAGAGAUGGAGUACCUGUUAUUAAAGUGGCCAAUGACAAUGCUCCAGAGCAUGCUUUGCGACCUGGUUUCUUAUCCACUUUUGCCCUUGCAACAGACCAAGGGAGCAAACUUGGACUUUCCAAAAAUAAAAGUAUCAUCUGUUACUAUAACACCUACCAGGUGGUUCAAUUUAAUCGUUUACCUUUGGUGGUGAGUUUCAUAGCCAGCAGCAGUGCCAAUACAGGACUAAUUGUCAGCCUAGAAAAGGAACUUGCUCCAUUGUUUGAAGAAUUGAGACAAGUUGUGGAAGUUUCUUAAUCUGACAGUGGUUUCAGUGUGUACCUUAUCUUCAUUAUAACAACACAAUAUCAAUCCAGCAAUCUUUAGACUACAAUAAUACUUUUAUCCAUGUGCUCAAGAAAGGCCCCUUUUUCCAACUUACACUAAAGAGCUAGCAUAUAGAUGUAAUUUAUAGAUAGAUCAGUUGCUAUAUUUUCUGGUGUAGGGUCUUUCUUAUUUAGUGAGAUCUAGGGAUACCACAGAAAUGGUUCAGUCUAUCACAGCUCCCAUGGAGUUAGUCUGGUUGCCAGAUAUGGAUGAGAGAUUCUAUUCAGUGGAUCAGAAUCAAACUGGUACAUCGAUCCACUUGAGCCGUUAAGUGCUCCCAGUUGUACAAUAUGCCCAGGCUUGCAGAAUGAAGCCAACUUUUUAUUGUGAAUAAUAAUAAGGACAUAUUUUUCUUCAGAUUAUGUUUUAUUUCUUUGCAUUGAGUGAGGAACAUAAAAUGGCUUGGUAAAAGUAAUAAAAUCAGUACAAUC
Molecule: small RNA, 960 nt
Filed under: Pongo abelii (Sumatran orangutan)
Lineage: Eukaryota; Metazoa; Chordata; Mammalia; Primates; Hominidae
Description: processed transcript
Source: RNAcentral